ACGAUUUCCUGUAAAACUGUUUUUGGCGCAGUUUUUCAGCGGCAGUCGCGGGAGUUUGAAAUGUGAUGGUUUAACGGAGCCCAUGGAGAUUUCUUUCGUCAUUAGCAGCCCCCUUGAUAGAGGCACAAGUGUGUGGGAUGCCCUGGUGGCCACACCCCCGGACUGGGCCAUCACCAUCACACCUGCGUCCCAUUCCAGGUGAUUACCAGGAGGACUAUUUAACCCUGCGCUGACGGAUGCUCCACGCCAGUCCGUUAGUCACCCAUCAGUGGUUACUAUCUGGCGUUUUGUGCCUGCCACCGGCCUAUCCUCAUGCCUGCUCGGAUCUCUGAGUGCACCAUCUAUCCUCAUCCCUGCCUCCUCGUAUUUGCCUCCCACGGACACGCUUCCCCCCCUCCGAGUCCCACGGUCCGGCUCUCAUCCCUCCCAUGGUCCCGAAUACAGCUUCGCUGUGUAUUUUGUCUUCCAGGUUUCCUUCAGUUGCGUGAUUUUGCUUCCUUGGUUGUUCUGGGUCACCUUUUGUUAAAUCAAUAAAAUCUGUACUUGCUCACAUUAAGGGUAUUGAGUUUGCUUUUGGGUCCCGCUUUAGUGUAUGAACUGCGCUUCAUGACAUUAUGUGUUUGAUUAAGAAUAAAAAA
Oreochromis aureus is the source of this 638-nucleotide long non-coding RNA. RefSeq lists it as uncharacterized. The record is from RefSeq and is a predicted model, not a curated record. The transcript is spliced from 4 exons. Lineage: Eukaryota; Metazoa; Chordata; Actinopteri; Cichliformes; Cichlidae.